UAAGGAAUAUUGGUCAAUGGACGCAAGUCUGAACCAGCCAUGCCGCGUGAAGGAUAAAGGUCCUCUGGAUUGUAAACUUCUUUUAUCUGGGACGAAAACGGGAUUUUUAUCUCAAUUGACGGUACCAGAGGAGUAAGCACCGGCUAACUCCGUGCCAGCAGCCGCGGUAAUACGGAGGGUGUGAGCGUUAUCCGGAUUUACUGGGUUUAAAGGGUGCGUAGGUGGGCUUAUAAGUCAGUGGUGAAAUCUCCGAGCUUAACUUGGAAACUGCCGUUGAUACUAUAGGUCUUGAAUUAUCUGGAGGUAAGCGGAAUAUGUCAUGUAGCGGUGAAAUGCUUAGAUAUGACAUAGAACACCAAUUGCGAAGGCAGCUUACUACAUAUAAAUUGACGCUGAGGCACGAAAGCGUGGGGAUCAAACA
This 421-nucleotide ribosomal RNA is filed under the name uncultured bacterium. RNAcentral describes it as "bacterial SSU rRNA". It matches the Rfam family "Bacterial small subunit ribosomal RNA", at positions 355 to 774 of the family's 1533-position model. The record is from RNAcentral.